Molecule: ribosomal RNA, 1202 nt
Filed under: Lactiplantibacillus plantarum
Lineage: Bacteria; Bacillati; Bacillota; Bacilli; Lactobacillales; Lactobacillaceae
Description: bacterial SSU rRNA
Rfam family: Bacterial small subunit ribosomal RNA
Source: RNAcentral
CGUUGCUAUACAUGCAGUCGAACGAACUCUGGUAUUGAUUGGUGCUUGCAUCAUGAUUUACAUUUGAGUGAGUGGCGAACUGGUGAGUAACACGUGGGAAACCUGCCCAGAAGCGGGGGAUAACACCUGGAAACAGAUGCUAAUACCGCAUAACAACUUGGACCGCAUGGUCCGAGUUUGAAAGAUGGCUUCGGCUAUCACUUUUGGAUGGUCCCGCGGCGUAUUAGCUAGAUGGUGAGGUAACGGCUCACCAUGGCAAUGAUACGUAGCCGACCUGAGAGGGUAAUCGGCCACAUUGGGACUGAGACACGGCCCAAACUCCUACGGGAGGCAGCAGUAGGGAAUCUUCCACAAUGGACGAAAGUCUGAUGGAGCAACGCCGCGUGAGUGAAGAAGGGUUUCGGCUCGUAAAACUCUGUUGUUAAAGAAGAACAUAUCUGAGAGUAACUGUUCAGGUAUUGACGGUAUUUAACCAGAAAGCCACGGCUAACUACGUGCCAGCAGCCGCGGUAAUACGUAGGUGGCAAGCGUUGUCCGGAUUUAUUGGGCGUAAAGCGAGCGCAGGCGGUUUUUUAAGUCUGAUGUGAAAGCCUUCGGCUCAACCGAAGAAGUGCAUCGGAAACUGGGAAACUUGAGUGCAGAAGAGGACAGUGGAACUCCAUGUGUAGCGGUGAAAUGCGUAGAUAUAUGGAAGAACACCAGUGGCGAAGGCGGCUGUCUGGUCUGUAACUGACGCUGAGGCUCGAAAGUAUGGGUAGCAAACAGGAUUAGAUACCCUGGUAGUCCAUACCGUAAACGAUGAAUGCUAAGUGUUGGAGGGUUUCCGCCCUUCAGUGCUGCAGCUAACGCAUUAAGCAUUCCGCCUGGGGAGUACGGCCGCAAGGCUGAAACUCAAAGGAAUUGACGGGGGCCCGCACAAGCGGUGGAGCAUGUGGUUUAAUUCGAAGCUACGCGAAGAACCUUACCAGGUCUUGACAUACUAUGCAAAUCUAAGAGAUUAGACGUUCCCUUCGGGGACAUGGAUACAGGUGGUGCAUGGUUGUCGUCAGCUCGUGUCGUGAGAUGUUGGGUUAAGUCCCGCAACGAGCGCAACCCUUAUUAUCAGUUGCCAGCAUUAAGUUGGGCACUCUGGUGAAACUGCCGGUGACAAACCGGAGGAAAGGUGGGGAUGACGUCAAAUCCUCAUGCCCCUUAUGACCUGG